This 8759-nucleotide long non-coding RNA is filed under the name Lynx pardinus (Iberian lynx). The record is from RNAcentral. Lineage: Eukaryota; Metazoa; Chordata; Mammalia; Carnivora; Felidae.
UCCGCAGGGCCUGCCUCCACUGCCCCCGGGCCCAGCUCACCAGGACACAGUACUCCUUGCCGGGUUCCGUGGAGACGGCACUGAUGUCGGCCAGCCUGGCUGUGCCCAGGGAGCGGAAGAAGCUGGUCUGGCAGUCCUCGUGGCAGGUGAAGAGGCGGUCAUCGGUAAUCACCAGGCAGCAGGGGAUGCAGGGGCUGGGGGUCACCCCCUGGGGGAUGACCUGAAGGGCAUCGGCAGAGGGGAGAGGCAAGCUGGAGCUCUCCGGGGGUCGGUGGCACCAGACCUGCCCCCUCCAGGGGCCCAGCCAGCCCUUGGGCUCCCCCUGCUCCAGAGGUCAGGCGGGCUCCACCCAAGUCGGAAGUGGAGGUGGGGACAGGGGUGACAGUGGGAGUGUCCGGCCCACAGGCGGCCCUGAGCCCGAGGACCCGCUCCUGGGCUGUCCCCUGGAGGUCCCCGUCUUCGUCCUCAUGGGCCUCUCUGUGAGCGUGUGUGCCUCUGGGGAAGGGACACCGGAGGGGGCUGGACGGGGUCGGGAGGCCAGACGAGCGGCGCAGGCCGGAGGCGCUCACCCCUUUGGACACGGCCUGGCAGAGCUGCUGCAUCCAGCCGGCCAUCUCGGCCUCGCUGUCCGCGCUCAGCUCCAGGCAGGGCCGGUCGGCGAGGAUGACCUGGAAGGCGUGGGGCCGAUCCGUGGUGUUGGCUCUCCGACAGCCACCGCACUGCUCCCCCCUGGGCCAGAGGAGGAGGGGUGAAAGGGGAGCAAGGAGGCAGGGGUGGCGUCGGACACGGGUGCGCCUGCACCCGCGGUCCCGGGGGCUGGAGGCCACCGGAAGGUGCUAUGGACCCCUUCGGCUCUCGGGAGAGACUUAAAGCUGCCAGGCGGGCCCGGCCCUUUCCGAGUGACAACUUCUGCAAGGGGAACUGCCAGAAUUGCCAAGAUCCUUCUAGAAAUCUCAACCUGGCCAGGCAAGGGGUGAGAAUCCGCUCUUAGCUCUGGCCCUCUUGGCAUCAGGGCACAUUCAUUCCCGUUGCCUCUGUGGGCCCCAGGUUUUCUCCAAGCACCUGUGCGUCCAUCUUCCAUCAGGUAAGGAGCUUCCCGGGAGAGGGACCGCCUCCCCUGCCCGGACAGACCCUCCUGGCAAGGAGUUCCUCUUGCUCCCCUGACAGGACGAUGCCCAGCCUCCCCUUGCUUGGGGUCCUAUAGCCUCAGGGCUCAGCAGACCCCAGGGCAGCGGUCAGGGCUGCUGGAUGGGGUGGGGCUGAGUGGGGGCAGGCCGAACUGAUUGACACAAGGGGGUGGGGUGUCAGCUCGAGCCAGGGAGAACAGGAGCCCCGGGUCCCAGGCUCGGCCAGAGCCGCCACCUGCGGGCAGCACCGCCAGGCCUCACGCCUGCCCAGUCCCCCAUCGCUAGGACACUCACCCCAUGUUCACAGAGAGCAGAGGGGUGACAUCUGUGCGGUCAGGAUACUGGUAGAGGAUCCCGUUGCUGUAGGGGCGCAACAUGGCAGGGGUGAGGCCCGUCGCAAGAACCGAAGGCCAGGUGGGGCCCAGAUCCCGGGGGGGCCUGCAACUGGGGCCUUAAGCCCCAGAGGCCAAGGGGCCUGCCCUCUGUGGAAGGGAAGGUGAAGAGAGAACUGCAGAGGCUCGGGAGGGCGUGCUGUCCCCUCAGCAGACCUGGGGAUGGCGAAAACCUUGGCCGCAGCCCUGCCCGGACCCCUACCUGAUGUGCCCCAGGAUCCUCGGGCCCCAGAGACGGCCGCUUUACACAGAAGCUCUCGCAGCCCGGAGGGGGUCUGCUCCAAAACCCUUGUCGGGGUGGAAAGAUGCCCCCGUGGGCUUCUCUCCCCGGUGGCCGGCCCAAGGGAGACCCCUGCUGAGGGCCCAACAAGCCCCAGGUCGAGCCCGGGGCCAGAGCUGUGGGAGCCCCCACCUGAGGACCACGAAGCAAGUCUUCCAGUGCUCUUUGCCCAAGUAGGAGGUGCCCGCCUUGUAAUGCAGCAUGCCUUCUUUGGUGAUGGCGCCCUCAGGGGGUGAGCAGUGGCAGGGCACUGGACCCAGGGACUCAUCCAGGGGGUCCUCCCAGUGCACAAGCCCGUAGAAGCGCACGGUGACAGCGGUGGCCUGCGUGCGGGGAGGGGGCAGCAGACAGAGUGGUGAGGUCUGGGUCGGGCUCACCAGCGGCCCAGCACCAGGAAUGGCCGCUGAGAAAGCAAGGCCGUGCCCCAAGUGGGGUGGGGGAUGGGACCCGAGGGUAGGAGAGCCCCUCCCAGGUGGGUGAUGGAGAGGUCCUAAAGACGUCCUUUUGCGUCGCCUGGCCCCUAACACCACCAUACCUCCCCUGCACUCCCGGCUCUACCUCACACUUAGAUUCCUGGGCCACGAAUUUGGCCAGUGCCAGCUUCUCCAUGGUGGCAUCAGUCAGGAUGCUGGGGUAAGGUGGCUCCCGGCAGCCUUUGAUCAUGGCGGACUUCAAAGAAGCCAAGAAGAACCUAUACAAGGGAGUGGGGUUUGCUGUCAGAGGCCUGGGGGACCUCCACCCUUCAACUGGACGGGAUCCUGGCCUGGAGGGGUCCCAGGAACUUUGGGGAGGGACCCGGCCGGAAGCAGAGCUCAGGGCAGCAGGCGGGGCGAUGAUGCACCGGUCGGUUGCCAUCAGCUGUGACCUGGAAGAGGCCUAACCGUUCCCCGUGGCCGAGGUGCCUGGGGUCUGACGGGGAGGCAGGACCAGGUGAGGGGAUGCCGCAGAACGGGUGGGACCCGGGUGCCCGUCACCAUCCGAUCUUAUCAUGUGUACUUUCUGUAUGAGAGCACAAGGGCCAGCAGUGGGGCUCGGGUGUCCUUCCUGGCGGGUGACUCACACCAGCCCCCUUCCUCUCCGCAGGCCACGCAGGGUCUGAGGUCACCUGAACUGACGACGGAGCCAGUCAGUGUGUGUGUACCUUUCCCUGCAGGUGCCGGAGGGAACACAUCUGCUCCGCACUGGUUUGUGUCCCACUUCUCCCCCUCCUGCCCCAAGGGUGGGGAGACCAGGCCAGGACCUCCAGUCCUACAGGAACGGGGAGGUGGGGGAUUGGCCGGGGGGGGGGGGGAGCGUCACUCACUCAGCCAGGGCCACGUCAGCCGUGUCCAGCAGAAACUGCUUCCUGCGGUUGGUGCACACCAGCUUCACCGUCUGCUGGUCGAGGCCCACCUGCCAGAAACGAUACCUUCACAUGCACAAGGGGCUUGGCCGCUGCCUGGCGGAAGAGGCAGCCACGGCCAGACAGAGGGCCGGCUGGGGAGGGAGGAGGCAGACCCUGGCAUCGCCACAAGGUAAAGCCCCAGAGGCCUGGGACCCAGGGCGUGAGUCAGGGAGGGGAGGGAUGGUCAGAAAUACGGUGGACAAAGAGGCGUCCUCAGACUCGGUUCUCAUCCCCAGCAUCCUGUGGUGAAGCCCCCGGGAGAGGAGCUGACGCCCAGCCCUGGGGGCGGAGGGGUCGAGGCAGGGACGUGCCUCGCUCUGAGCUCCCGAGGUGGGUGGCCAGAGGAGCCCCGUCCUAUGCAGUUGGCCUAUGCCAACCGCAGAUCCUGCACUCACCGACACAUAGUCAAGCUCGUUGUAAGAAACUGCCUCUUCCACCAGGUAUGGCUUCUCCGCGGCCCCUGAGAGAGGAGACCCCAAUGCCUGUAACUCUCAGUGGCCUCUUUUCCCUCCCCCUGCCCCCUUUUCUAAGACUGGCCCCUCUCUCAGCGAGGACCCGUCCUUGUCCUGCGACCUGAGAUGACAGACUAGGACAGUGACACGGGGUGCUCGUGGCGGGCAGGCCCCCGGGCUCGUCUUGGGGCGGAGUGGAGUGUUUUCGCCACCACACGCCAGGCAGCCGAGAGCCAGGGGCGGGGGGCACAGAGGGAGGGAGGGUGGUCAGUGUCGUCCUCGACCCGCUCUCAGCAGCUGCCCUGGCCUAGCCCGGGGGCGGCGGGCACCUUUCCGGAGCAGGUAGACAUAGCAGUCUGUGAGCAGCACGUACAGCAGCUGCAGGGUGCCCUCCAUGUGCCCGGUGCUCAUCCGGAUCAUCUGAGGGGCGGAGACAGGGGACGGUCAGGCACCCCGGCUCCCGCCCCCGGCCCGGGCCAGCGCGCUUUUGCCCCUGGCCCCUGAGCUCCCGGGACUUACUUUGAAGAGCUGCUCUUCGUUUUCUCGAAACACGUGGAUCAUCAGCAGGAGUAAGUGAUUGUUGUCUACCCUGUGAGAGGGACAAGCGUGGGGAGGGUGAAGGCCAGGAGGGGGGUGGGAGGGGACACAGGCACGCGGCGGCACCGUUGUCGCGGCUCUGCUCCUGACCAAGAGCCAGAGCGAGGGAGGGGAGACGUGCGCCCCGUCCCAGCCCCCAGCCCAGGCUAGUUCCUCCGGGGGUUCUGCUUGGUUCGUUGGGAGGACGACGCCCACUGUCCCCUGCUUUGCAGGCCGGGGGCGUCUCACGGCAGCCGCACCGGGAGCCUUGCUCACCUGAACUCUGCCGAGUGGGUCAUCUCAGAAGGGCUCCCCUGCCCCUCAUCCACCCCCGAGUCCUCAGCGCUGCUCAGACACGGGCUGGGCUGGUCUCGCUUGAGCUGGCAGAGAGCCUCGUGGGUCCCGGGCUCUGCUUCGGGCACAGGUCCGUCACCCGCAGGGGGCAACUGCGUCUCCAGGCCCCGGGUCUCUGGCUCCCGGGCUUCCCCCGGGGUGUCCUCUAGGGGCCCAGGUGCCUGUCCCUCUCUUCUUCCUCCUCCCUCUUCUUGGCCAGCAGUCGCAGGGCCACCAGGAACAUGCAGCGGUUGGCCAGGCCCUGCAGGGUCAUGGUUGCUGCCACUUGAUGUAAGAGCGCUUGGACUCUCGACGGUAAAGCGGUAGAAGUCCAUUGGGGCUGGAAGCCCCUCACUAAAGUCGCAAAAUGGCGGCUUCUCCGGGGCAUCCCCGGGAGAGCCGGUCCGAAAGGACUGGUCUGGGGACUGGAUGUGGGAGCGCCAGGCGCUGGGGUCCAGCUGCCCGUUGAGCUGGUCGAUGACCUUACUCAGGGGCUGCCCCAAGCGCUCCAUGGAGGUGUCCUUCAUUUCGGGGAUGAGCAGACCCAUCUGGCCCGGCUCCGGGAGCUCGCUGCUCUCAGCUGUGCCGCUGGGCCCCUCUCCCUCCUCCUGGGGGGAAGUGAAGGUAGCGUCCGGUGAGGCCCGCCCAAGGCCUGGGCUGCUGACGAGGCUGUCACCAUCGCCCCGCCUGGCACAGCUGUCCUGGCUGGAGGAGGGGUGAAGCGGGCUAGCUUCCUCAUCCGAUCUGGUCUUCUUCUUCUUGCCGGUUUUCUUCUUCUUGGUGACCCUGGGACGGUAGCGAUGGGGAGAGAUUUACCAUCUGGGCGCCACUGAGCUGGGGAAUUAGGUGGGCUGGGUCAAAACAGGUGAUUCUGGGCGUGUGACCUCUGAGGGCACAGCCAAGCUUCCAUGGUCCUGGGCAGUGCUGGCUGGGAGGCCCUAGGCCAGGGGCACAGAGCAGCUCAGGCCCUGAGGGACCCCCUGCUGUUGGCAGAGACAGGGACCAGAGGAACCCCUGAGCAGGUCCCACGGAUUCUAGCCGAUGACACAAAUGAGCUAGCUGUGUUCUGGGGGGACAAAACAGGCCACGGUCGGUCGGAGCGAUGGCGCCUCCCUUCAGCCCUCCCCUUAGGAUGUGGCUGGUGGACCCUGGGCGGACCUCACUUCCCAUUAGGUGUCACUGUGGAUAAUUCAACCAAAAGUGGACUUAAACUCUUUCGGGCUCAAACCCCUUGGUUGCAAAUUGGCUGGGACGGGCGUGGCAAGGCGACCCCAGGUCUGAACCCAUGAAGCCACUCAGGACUCGAACCACCCUGCAGAGGGGGACCCCUGACUCCAGUCACUGGGGAGCAAGGCCGGCAAGCCCCGGGGGUAGGACACACACAUCUUCUCACCCAGGGCUGAGAGCCUCAGGGCGGGAGCCAGGGGCAGUCGGGAGCCCAAUCCGUCAGCACUUCCUCCCUUCUAGGUAGGCCCCUGGCGAUGGAUGGAGACCCUUUUCUUUCAAGGAGCCAUGCUGAACUACAAUCGGUACAGACCUCAGAAACUGUACAGCGACACCCAAGGACCCCCUGGGGAAGAAUUCCAGUCUGAAGGGACUUUGUGGCCCUGGAUGAACCUGACAAAUGCCCCCCACCCAGGCGUGGCUCCGGUCAUGGCCUGUGCCACACUGUCUUCCGGGCUCGGGCCCUCUGUUUCUUCUUGCUCAAAGAACUGCGGGAGAACCACUCAGUCUCCAGGCAGAUGCCCAUGUGCCCCCCCCAGGGGGUGCGUGUGGUCCCAGUCUGCACGGACAACGUGACACUAGGAGUGCACAGGAUGGACGUCAGGAUAUGCUCAUCCAACUGCUCUCGGGGCCCCUCCCCACCGACCUGAUGACCUCCAGCUCCGUGCAGGCGUCUGGCAGGUCAAGAGUGCGGGAUUCCCCCUUCUCCUGGGACGUGGUGUGCACAGGGGUGGUGUCGGAGGAGGACACGGUCUCUGCCUGGUCCUCACUGAAAGGGUUGUGGCGCUGGGUGGGACUCUUGGUGGAAGCCUUGCUGCUGGUCGGGUCCGAGGCGGUAGAGCGGGGCCCGCUGACAGUGUCUGUGAGGUCUCCAUCUGGGAGAACGGGAAACAGGAGACAGCCCGUCAGACAGCAUCUGGGGCCCCCGGGCCCCCAAGGCAUGCCUUAUCCCAUGAGGGAGGCGGGUGAGUUCCUCCCAGGGAAAUCCGACCGGGGUGGCCCUGCUUUAAGAUUUGAAGCCCCAGAGCAACAGGACCAGGGACCUGGGCUUGAAGAGCGACUUGGAGGGACACCACCACCACCUGCACUGGGAACCCUCAAGAGCUCGUAGCAAUCUGGCCGAGUGCGAGUUAAGAGCCCUGAGGUUAAACAGCCUCCAGGCUGAAGCCCCUUAGGACAGUGACCUCGAUGCCUCAAGAGGAAAUGAGCCACAGACCUCUCAGGUUAACCUCAGAGCCUUCCGACGGAGAGUGCCAGAGGGGCACUGGGGAGCCCCUUCAGCACCAAACGCCACCGGCAGGGCUGAGAUACCCAAAGUCCUCUGAAGGGUGCCCCCCCCGGAGGCAGAUAAGACGCAACAAUGGCAGAGAGAAUAGAGGGAGAGACUGGGAAUCAGAGAAAAUGAGGGGUGCAGAGUCGGGGCAGGGGCUGAGGGCAGGACAGGGAGCCCAGAGAGUGAGGAGCGUGGGGGAAGGGCAGAAGACGGACCCAGAGCACAGGAGGCAGGAUGCGAGGCCAGAUCAGGGCAACGAGGAGAUGCCAAGGGGAGAAGAAAGGUGUGCCGAGUGGCUGCCCCCCAACAGCUGCCUCAUGGGCUCUUCGGUGGCCGCUUCUCUCCCUGACAUCCUAUCCGCUCACUCCUGGGGCGGGGGGUGAGGGGAAGGGGGGGCAGGACCAGGCGCCCCUUGAAGGUGAGAGCUGGGAACUCAGUUUCACUCAGCUUGCCUACUGGUCCUUUCUGGGUGGGUCACCCUGACCCUUGGCUCCACCCUGGGGAGAAGGCGGGGAGGGGAGGGAGGCUGACUCUCCAGAGAGGGGCUGGUUUAACGGCUCCCCCUGCCCCCAACCAUCCACCCCAGGUACUGGAACGGGCGUGCCUACAGCACACGGGGCACUUAUCUGGUGGCAGAUGGGAGCUGCCCCAGCAGAGGACUGAGGCCCAACCGGCGGAAGAGGCUGGGUGACAGCUAAUGGCACGGGACAGGGGACGUUCACGCCCCAUUUGCCAGCUUGCACACGUCUCGUUGGCCAUUAUCUGCCCAGAGGAGACACAGUAAACACGCUUCCCGUCCUCAGCCUCGUCUGGAAGGGCCCGACCUGCUGUCGGCUGCCUAGUGGGUCUUGGAAACCGCUGGGCAGCUGUCUGCUGAUGCAGCACAUCAGCCAGUUUUUUAAAAAGUACAGCGUCUCUUCACGGGAGGACAAAAGCGGGGCCGAGAGCAAUCGCCAGCCCUGCCAGAAAAACACUAGCAACACACGAGAUUUGCUGCUCGUGUCCCGGGACCCCAGAGCCUUCGUUCUCAGGUGCAGCAAACCUCGCCCUUUGGUCUCAAAGAAGGAUCCCGCAAGGCCAGACAUUCUUGCUCCAGCCCCCAGAGACCUGCGGCUGUCUGUGGGAGCAGCUGAGGGGCGAGUGAGCAGGCCACGGGACGUGCUGGGUGUCAGGGCUGGACGCUGGGGGGGCCCACCAGUUCUGGAAGUGAGCUGAGGACCAUGGAAGGCCGCCCCGACCCCCACUCCAGGGCCCAGAGUUUGGAGCCGCCCCCGAAUCCUGCUCCCCUCCAGGUGGAAGGAGGCAAAGCUUCCCAGGUGAGCUGCCAGAGGAACCUCGGGAACUCAGGAGGUCACGGGGUGGGGUGGGGGGCGGAUUAAGGUCACCCGGCCCCCCGGAGCCCAGCCCAGCCCCGCCCGAGCAAGCAGUGCCACCGGGGCUGUUAGCUCUCAGGCCACAGGGAGCUCUCAAGGGCUGCGGAGGAAGGUCAGGCCCUGCUUGUCAAGUGACUGCAACAGGCAGCGAGGAGCUGGGUCGGGGGAGGGGGUUAGUGGUUAGAAUCAGAGGGAGAGAGGAAAAAAAAAAAAAACAAAAAAAAAAAACCAAUGCCCAGCAUGUGCACUGCAAGAAGAGAGGUUGAGAGGGUAAAUGAUGUUACGAUGGAAUUCUGGAUUUCGGGCUGAUCUUAACUAACUACCCCGUGGCACUCUUCAGUGCUA